Molecule: ribosomal RNA, 254 nt
Filed under: uncultured bacterium
Lineage: Bacteria
Description: partial 16S ribosomal RNA
Rfam family: Bacterial small subunit ribosomal RNA
Source: RNAcentral
UACGGGGGGAGCAAGCGUUGUUCGGAUUUACUGGGCGUAAAGGGCGCGUAGGCGGUCAGCACAAGUCAGUUGUGGAAUCUCCGGGCUUAACUCGGAAAGGUCAACUGAUACUGUGCGACUAGAGUGCGGAAGGGGCAACUGGAAUUCUCGGUGUAGCGGUGAAAUGCGUAGAUAUCGAGAGGAACACCUGCGGCGAAGGCGGGUUGCUGGGCCGACAUUGACGCUGAUGCGCGAAAGCCAGGGGAGCGAACGGG